GACGAACGCUGGCGGCGUGCUUAACACAUGCAAGUCGAACGGUGAAGCGCCUUCCUUUUUGGUGGGUGUGGAUGAGUGGCGAACGGGUGAGUAACACGUGAGUAACCUGCCCCCUUCUUCUGGAUAACCGCAUGAAAGUGUGGCUAAUACGGGAUAUUCUGGGUCUGUCGCAUGAUGGGUCUGGGAAAGAUAUUGUUUCGGUGGGGGAUGGGCUCGCGGCCCAUCAGCUUGUUGGUGGGGUGAUGGCCUACCAAGGCGGUGACGGGUAGCCGGCCUGAGAGGGUGGACGGUCACACUGGGACUGAGACACGGCCCAGACUCCUACGGGAGGCAGCAGUGGGGAAUAUUGCACAAUGGGCGCAAGCCUGAUGCAGCGACGCCGCGUGAGGGAUGGAGGCCUGCGGGUUGUGAACCUCUUUCGCCAGUGAAGCAGGCCUGCCUCGUUUGUGGGUGGGUUGACGGUAGCUGGAGAAGAAGCGCCGGCUAACUACGUG
RNAcentral lists this ribosomal RNA (494 nucleotides) under uncultured bacterium. RNAcentral describes it as "partial 16S ribosomal RNA". It matches the Rfam family "Bacterial small subunit ribosomal RNA", at positions 28 to 507 of the family's 1533-position model. The record is from RNAcentral.